This 484-nucleotide ribosomal RNA is filed under the name uncultured bacterium. RNAcentral describes it as "partial 16S ribosomal RNA". It matches the Rfam family "Bacterial small subunit ribosomal RNA", at positions 30 to 507 of the family's 1533-position model. The record is from RNAcentral.
AUUGAACGCUGGCGGCAGGCCUAACACAUGCAAGUCGAGCGGAUGAAGGGAGCUUGCUCCUGGAUUCAGCGGCGGACGGGUGAGUAAUGCCUAGGAAUCUGCCUGGUAGUGGGGGAUAACGUCCGGAAACGGGCGCUAAUACCGCAUACGUCCUGAGGGAGAAAGUGGGGGAUCUUCGGACAUCACGCUAUCAGAUGAGCCUAGGUCGGAUUAGCUAGUUGGUGGGGUAAAGGCCUACCAAGGCGACGAUCCGUAACUGGUCUGAGAGGAUGAUCAGUCACACUGGAACUGAGACACGGUCCAGACUCCUACGGGAGGCAGCAGUGGGGAAUAUUGGGCAAUGGGCGAAAGCCUGAUCCAGCCAUGCCGCGUGUGUGAAGAAGGUCUUCGGAUUGUAAAGCACUUUAAGUUGGGAGGAAGAGCAGUAUGUUAAUACCUUGCUGUUUUGACGUUACCAACAGAAUAAGCACCGGCUAACUUCGUG